AUUGAACGCUGGCUGCAGGCCUAACACAUUCAAUUCGAGCUGAGCGGCUGCCGGGUGAGUAAUGCCUAGGAAUCUGCCUGUUAGUGCGGUAUAACGUCCCGAAACGGGCGCUAAUACCGCAUACUAUCAUCUCAGCCUAGGUCGGAUUAGCUAGUUGGUGGGGUAAAGGCCUACCACGGCGACGAUCCGUAACUGGUCUCAGAGGAUGAUCAGUCACACUGGAACUGAUACACGGACCAGACUCCUACGGGAGGCAGCAGUGGGGAAUAUUGGACAAUGGGCGAAAGCCUGAUCCAGCAAUGCCGCGUGUGUGAAGAAGGUCUUCGGAUUGUAAAGCUCUUUAAGUUGGGAGGCGUUACCAAAAGAAUAAGCACCGGCUAACUUCGUGCCAGCAGCCGCGGUAAUAC
Molecule: ribosomal RNA, 407 nt
Filed under: uncultured bacterium
Lineage: Bacteria
Description: partial 16S ribosomal RNA
Rfam family: Bacterial small subunit ribosomal RNA
Source: RNAcentral